AAUUUUCACAGAAUAAAAAGUCAUCCUUUUAUGUUCAGAAUAUUUUUAGAUUAUUGUUUCCACUUCGAUCAAAUAACAACCUAUCAAUCAGAUUGAAAUUUGUAUUACAGUAUCAGCAGAAAAAUCAGAAAUAUAUCAUCCCCAAAAACCUAAAUGAUUUCCAAAUGGCUAAGUUUAUUAAUUUUAAUUAUCAUAAAUAAUCAUCACUAGCAUCCCUGAUAAUCAAAUAUAAGCCAAAACCAAAAACAGAAAAGAACGGAA
This 261-nucleotide unclassified non-coding RNA is filed under the name Hevea brasiliensis (rubber tree). The record is from RNAcentral. Lineage: Eukaryota; Viridiplantae; Streptophyta; Magnoliopsida; Malpighiales; Euphorbiaceae.